RNAcentral lists this long non-coding RNA (540 nucleotides) under Laticauda laticaudata (blue-ringed sea krait). Its description in RNAcentral is "lncRNA (ENSLLTG00000001454.1)". Lineage: Eukaryota; Metazoa; Chordata; Lepidosauria; Squamata; Elapidae. The record is from RNAcentral.
AUGAUGAACAUCCAAAGUGAGAUAGCCCGAUUUGAGGACACUUUGCAGGAGUAUGUGGUGUUCAAGGAUUUCCUCUACCAGCUAUCUCCCAAAGAAUGGCGGGAAGAACGUGAAAGACGGCGGAUGAAAGAAAAGGAAAAUAAAUUCAAUUCUGACAAUAAAGAGGAAAAAUCAGUACAGUCAAAAGGUUCAGGAAAGGAUGUUCAAGAAUCUCAAGACAAGGGCCGACGUCGAAUAGCAAGCACAACAAAACAUUCUAGUUUUGACAUCACUAAUGUAGAACCUUCCACUUCUAGAACGCCAAGCCAAAUUUUGUCUAGAAAGGAAUCUUUCAAAUUAAGCCGAGUAUCUUCUAGGCAGACUCUAAAGUCCCAACAAAGCAGAAAGCCGAGUGUGCAGAUUGCCCCAUCAGAAGAAAAAUUUAGUUCAGAAUUAUCUGAUGAAGAAGAUGAUGAGGUCAGUAAUUCAAUGUUUUUAGCAUAUAACUGCAGCAUUGACGGAGCUCAGCAAUUAAUUGAACAUUUUUAAGCUGGAAUUCUU